Molecule: ribosomal RNA, 500 nt
Filed under: Fusarium sp. cl6
Lineage: Eukaryota; Fungi; Ascomycota; Sordariomycetes; Hypocreales; Nectriaceae
Description: eukaryotic LSU rRNA
Rfam family: 5.8S ribosomal RNA (bases 126-279)
Source: RNAcentral
GUGAACAUACCUAAAACGUUGCUUCGGCGGGAACAGACGGCCCUGUAACAACGGGCCGCCCCCGCCAGAGGACCCCUAACUCUGUUUUUAUAAUGUUUUUCUGAGUAAACAAGCAAAUAAAUUAAAACUUUCAACAACGGAUCUCUUGGCUCUGGCAUCGAUGAAGAACGCAGCGAAAUGCGAUAAGUAAUGUGAAUUGCAGAAUUCAGUGAAUCAUCGAAUCUUUGAACGCACAUUGCGCCCGCCAGUAUUCUGGCGGGCAUGCCUGUUCGAGCGUCAUUACAACCCUCAGGCCCCCGGGCCUGGCGUUGGGGAUCGGCAGAAGCCCCCUGUGGGCACACGCCGUCCCUCAAAUACAGUGGCGGUCCCGCCGCAGCUUCCAUUGCGUAGUAGCUAACACCUCGCAACUGGAGAGCGGCGCGGCCAUGCCGUAAAACACCCAACUUCUGAAUGUUGACCUCGAAUCAGGUAGGAAUACCCGCUGAACUUAAGCAUAUCAA